This 418-nucleotide long non-coding RNA is filed under the name Homo sapiens (human). RNAcentral describes it as "HSALNT0149863". The record is from RNAcentral. Lineage: Eukaryota; Metazoa; Chordata; Mammalia; Primates; Hominidae.
GAAGGAACGAUUGAGGUUCAAAAAUUGCAAAAGGCACUACAGCCAGUACACGGAAGAACAAAGAUCUGAACCAAUUUGAAUCAAGGACUCAUUUCAAAAACCUGUAUUGUUUUUUCUGAAUUUCACAUGGAUUAAAGAGAGAAUUUCGCAUGAAUUAGAGAAGGAUGGCUAAUUCUGAGACGAAACAAAGGUCUAAAACCAAAGUUGGGAAAGGCAGAAGGAGAUGGAUUUGGGAGACAAGGCAACAACAGAACCUAAUAGCAUGCUGUGCAGAGGAUGAACAGGAGACACAAAUGACUGAAGUUCAACUGUAAGUGGCUGAAAGAAUGCUACAAAUUAUUCAAUAAAAACAGGAGAGAGGAGGAAAUGUCUACAAAAAAAUUAAUAUUAGGGAAACGUAUGUGCAAGGCAAUAAAUU